AGAAAAUAAGGAAAAUGCUAAUCUAGGUAUCAAGCCUUAGUAAUGCUCGGCUCUAGUUCUCACCAAAGCCUAAUCAAAACUAGAAGCCUAGUGAUGGUUAUCUACAAUGAGUCGAAAGAUAAAAGGGAGAUGGAAUGAGGAGUUAACUAAAUUGACGACAAACAAAAUGAGAAAUAAACUACUAACUAAUGAACUAGAGAAUGAUGAGAACAUGGGAGUGUCGGGUGAUCCACACUAACUCAUAUGCAAACAUUGCUACCAAUUUCACAAAUGCAUAUCCUAUUGUAUCAAGUCCCGUAUCUAAUACCGGUUAAGGCUUCUAGACCAAUUAUCCUUUCGGUGUAUCGAUUAUACCGAUUAAGGCCACAAUCAAUUCUCUAACAUGGGCAUUACACAGGUUAAGGCCGUAACAUUCAAGUUAGAGGCCUAGAGUGUAAGAUAAUAGAGACCCAAGCAAGCUUAGCUACAAUCAAGCUUGUCACAUCCCGACCCUUAAAUUUUUACCUUAUUUACUAGCUUGAUUAUAAUAAGAAUUUUACCGUCUCCGUCAAUGAAGUUAUAGUUUAAUUGGUCCCUAGAGGGGUUUGGGGGACGGUUAUUUGCGGGGAAUUAUUCGUAGGAGGAAAAUGUGACAACGGUAAAAAUAGUAAAUUUUAGCUAGUAAAAGGUAAUUUUUAAUAGGGUAUUUUAUUUUGGGGUGUAAAUUUUAGAGUUGGGUUUUGGUGUAUAAGGUUGGUGGCCCCGUUUGGGGGUGAGAGGCCCAAAGCCAUUCUUCCCUUCUCUUUUUUCUUCUCUUCCUCUUCUCUUUUUCUUCUCUCCUCCCGACCUCUCCCGUGUCCGGUUUUUCUCCAGCUCUUGCCGUCGCCGACCGGCCGAGCCAGGCCGCCGGACCAGUCUCGUUUGGACCCCUGUCCUUCCCUCUCCAGCCCUGAGUUGGUGACAGCCCCUCUUCCGCCGGAAAUUGCAAGUUAUCAUGGCAAGAAGCUGUGGUGGUUCACUCGCCGGAGCUCCCUCCUCCGGCCACCAAAGCCGGCGAUCCUUGGCUCGUUUUGUAGCCCUCCUCCUAUGCAGCAACCCCUCCAAAUGUCUCACUCCCUCUUGAGCUAGGUAAGGAGAAAUUCAAAGUUGAAAUCCUAGGGCUCUUUAGGUGUUUGUGGUCGAUUGCCCUAGCUAGGCUUGGAUUUUGGGUUUGUGCUAGUUAGGAAAGUUGUAGAGCAUGAAGAGUGGAUUAUUCUGUCAAAAUUUCAUAGGAAUUGAAAGUCGUCGGAAUCGGCCUCCGGCGGAGCCGGCGCCGGUUGGGAGAUUUUAAUGUUUUUAAAUUUGGAAUAUCAAGGGGAGUUUAUUGAAGUGAGUUAUGGAAUUUUUGGAUGAGUUUUGGAUAGGUUUAUGAAUUUCCGAAGUGUGGUAUUUUUGGCGGUUAAUUAAUGUAGAAUCCGGCCGUUGGAUUAAAGUUGUUUAAGCUGUGGGAAGGUGUAGUUACGGCUGCUGGUUCUAGGGUUGAAAUGUGGACCACUUCGAAGUUAGGCAAUGUUGAGCGUGAUAAUGGCUCUCGGUUAAUUUUUGCCUAUUUUGUGUAAAUAUUGGAAUUUCGGUUAAUAUUAUAUUUGGAACAGGUCGUGAGGAGGCUCGAGUAGACGAGGCCCCAGAUCGACAUCAGGCUUAGGCCUAAUUAGUGAGUGGACCUUUGUUUUAAUUGAAAAGUAUGCGAUGAAUUAUUUUGUUGAUCAUUUAUUUCUUUUGCUGAGAUUUAUUUAUUUCUUGGAUAUUUGACAAUUUACCUCCUUUGGAGAGUUCCCGAAAAUGAGAUUUUCGGUGGAUAUGUUUAUUGGAUGUUUAUGAGGAUAGUAUGUAUAUAUAAAUGCUAGCUAGCCAUACGUGCUUGAUCCGCUAUAAUGAGGUAAAAUACCAUUAUGGUGUGACGUGAGCGUUAGAUGCAAGCGUAGUAGCCUUGUAUGAAUUUCUAUUUUGCUUAUUCCUUCAUAGAAUUCGUACAACGAGUAUGACGAGUAUAAAUACAUACACAUAUAUAUAUUUUUAUAUAUAAUUUAGCCUGAGAGGCCUUAUUUUUGUUAAGUUUGGAGACUAGCCGGAACUAGUCACGAAAUUGCCAAUCGUUGAGUUGAGAGCUUUUGAGCUGCCGCAUGCAAUAUAUUUUCUAUGAAAUUCAAAUUGGGAAUGCAUAAAUAUUUGUUAAUUUAUUUUUGUCUACUCACUCUAACGUGUUUCAAAUGUUUUCCCCUGGGCCAUUCGUUUUAAAAUGCCCAGUCUGCAGAGUACGGAUUGAAUCUAGUAGAAGACGAGGCAUAGUCACCCGCUUUUCCACCACUUUUCAUCAGUAGGUUACCUGUUUAACCUACCAGUAUUUUCUUGCUUCCUCUAGUUAGCAGCUCUGAUUACCUGAAGGAUAAUGUUAUUAGUUUGGUUGUGUGCUAAGACAUUGUUUAAUAUUUUGGAAUAUCCUAAGGAUGUCGUAUUUUUAUUAGUUGGGUAUUUAUGUUGAGGUUGUGUUGAUUUGGAAGAUGUUUUAUUAUUUUUGUGGUGGUGUUUUUGGGGAGCACGUAGGCUCCAGAAGUUAAGGGUGGAUUGAGAAUUUUAGAAGUGUUUGCAGGUUUUCUUUAGAAAGGGUUGUCCAUUUUCAAGGGAGGUUAUACCGAAUUUUCGGUAAUAUCUUCCUUGGAGGUGGUCCCCGCACAACUUACUCCGGGUUUCAAGCUGAAAUUCGGGGUGGGUUGUAUCAAAGCUAGCUAAUGGUUACCACACUUCAAAUCCUAGAUACACAAGACUAAUAAGUUGUCAAUUUAUCAAUCUAUGCAUCAAAUUGUCCACAACAUUAUCUCAAAGAGUGACAAAGCCUAGAAACAUGUUUUUAAGAACCAAUUCAUUUGGAUUCAAAGCAUACACAAUGGAAAUUGCAUUUAUAUCAAUCAAAGUAUCAACAUUAUACAAAAUGAGUUUAGGGCUUCAAUACCCUAACUCCCAAAAUUAAAUCACUCACAACCCAUAGUCAAAUACAUUAUCAAUAACAUAUAAGAUAAAGGAAUAGACAAUAUGUCACAUCCCGACCCUUAUAUUUUUACCUUAUUUACUAGCGUGAUUAUAAUAAGAAUUUUACCGUCUCGAUUAUUGAGUUAAUAGUUUAAUUGGUCCCUAGAGGGGUUUCGGGGACGAUUAUGUGCGGAGGAUUAUUCGUAUGAGGAAAAUACGACGACGGUAAAAAUGGUAAAUUUUAGCUAGUAAAAGGUAAUUUUUAUUCGGGUAUUAUUUUCGGGGUGUUUUAUUUUUGGAAUUGGGUUGUUAUAUAGGUGAUGGACCGGGUUGGUCAGGCCCAAACCCAGCCCUCACUUUUUCUUUUUCUUCCUCUCUUCUUCCCGGUUUCUUCUCGAGCCUCUCCCCCGCCGGAAACUUCUCGUCGUCCGUACGCCGCCGUCCGGCCACCAUCUGCCGCCGCUCCGAUCCCGUUCGGUUGCCCUCCGACCCAGCUAUCUUCCAGGACCGGUGACAGCCCCCCUACCGCCGUCGUGAGAGAGCGGUGCCGCCCGAAAGGCUAGGCUGCCCCGAACUUCUGGCAAUCGGAACUCCCUCCUCCGGCCACCAAAACCGGCGAUCCUUGGCUCGUUUUGUAGCCCUCCUCCCGUGCAGCAACCCCUCCAAUUAGCUCACUCCCUCUUGAGCUAGGUAAGGAGAAAUGUGGAGUUGAAUUUUCUAGGGCUUUUAGGAUGUUUUCGUUCGAUUAGCCUAGUUAGGUUUUGGAGGUCGCCGGAAUUAGCCUCCAGCCGCCACUGCCGGCGGAGCCGCCGCCGGUUAAGAGAUUUUUAGGGUUUUAAGUGUGGAAUAUUAAGAGGAGUUUAUUGAUGUGAUUUAUGGAAUUUUUGGAUGAGAUUUGGAUAGGUUUGUGAAUUUCCAAAGUUUGGUAUUUUUGGCGGUUAAUUAAUGUAGAAUCCGGCCGUAGGAUUUAAGUCGUAUUUUGGGGAGGUUGUAUUUACGACUGUGGAGUAUGAUAUUUAAGUUCGGAUCGUUCCGAUUUAAGAAUAUCGAAGUUAGGCAAUGAUGAGCGUAUUUAUGGCUCUCGGGUAAUUUUGCCUAUUUUGAUUAAAUAUUGGAUUAUUGGUUGGGAAAUUAAUAUUAUAUUUGGAACAGGACGUGAGGAGGCUCGAGCAGACGAGGCCCCAAAUCGACAUCAGGCUUAGGCCUAAUUUGUGAGUGGACGUUUAUUUUAAAUAAACGCAUGCUAUAGUUCAUGGUUGAACAAUUAAUGUUGCGGAAUAUUUUAAUGUCAUUUUAAUUUGACGAUUUUUAUUUCUCUUGGAGAGUUACCGAAAAUGGGAUUUUCGGUGGAUAUAAAUUUGUAUUUAUGAGAGAGUAUGUAUAUAAAUGCUAGCUAGCCAUACGUGUCUGUCCACCUUAAUGGCGUAGCAUAUAGCCGCAUUAUGGUGUGACGUGAGCGUUGGACGUGAACGUAGUAGCCCUAUUUGAGUGUUUAAUUCAUAUAGGGGGUAUGGACACAUAUUUAUACACCCGUCUGUCCACCUUGAUGAGGUAGUGUAGCACCGCAUUAAGGCGUGACGUGAGCGUUGGACGCGAGCGUAGUAGCCUUAUAUAGACCCAUGAAUUUAUAUAGGGAGUAUGGACGAGUGUAAAUACAUACAUAUAUUAUAGAGUCUGAGAGGCUCGAUAUUUUAUGAGAUAAAAGUUUUAUCGCUUGCGGCAUGCAUUCGAUUUUUCCUUAGAAACUAAUUUGGGGAAACAUAAAUAUUUUAUUUAUUAUUUUAUUUUUGUCCACUCACUCUAACGUUAUUAAAUAUUUUCCCCUGGGCCAUUCGUUUUAAAUUGCCCAGUCUGCAGAGUUCGGGUUGGAUCUAGUAGGAGGCGAGGCUUAGUCACCCGCAUUUCUGCCAGUUUUCAUCAGUAGGUUACCUGUUCAACCUACUCGUGUUUUCUUGCUUCCGCUAGUGUUUAGUAGCUCUGAAUACUUUGAGAUUAUUGUAUUAUGUGUAGAAUUUCUGAAGGAUAAUUAUGUGAUGUUUGGGCGUGUUGUAUUAGGAGUGUAAUUUGGAAUUUUCGAGUUAGGGUUGUCCAUCUGCAAGGGAGAUUUUCUCAAUCUUUUCAGUAAAUUUUCCUUGGAGGUGGUCCCCACAUGACUUACUCCGGAUUUCAGGGUGAAAUUCGGGGUGGGUCGUGUCACAAUAAGGAAAAGAGAGGGGGAGAGCUAGCUUGGUCACUUCAAGUUAUGAGAAGAUGAGCUAGUCGGUGAGCCGUGGCUUGGUUGGUUAAGGUGUUUAACUGACAACUUUGAGGUCAUGAGUUCAAACCUCACGGACAUAUGUAGGGUGUGUGAGUUAUUAAUAAAACGUUUUUUUUAAAAAAAAAAAAAAAAAGUAGAAAAGAAGCCACACUCGGGAGUUGACCCAAGCUCCAGCCUCUCUCUCCUCUCUCCGGCUGCAUCAGUCAACCCGACGCAUCGUCGCCGAUUCUGGCCACCACUUGCCACCACACUGGCCUCAAAAUGACCGUCUCCUUCUCCUCUUCCAAACCCAACCCUCCAUUCCAGCUAGCAUCCUCACAGGGAAGAGAUCAAAGUGGAAGAACACAACUGUGUUCAUCGGAUUUCAACAUAAACCGGCCACAACUACGACUCCGGUUUGAGCUCCGGUCUCUUAUCCACCCAACGACGGUGAGUCCCUUCCUCCUCUCUUCCUUUUGCACAAUCCAGUGUUUCUUUUCUUAAUUUUCUGGGUUUCAAGUUCUUAGCUCCGGCGACCUGCAUUCGACGGUUUCUGACGAGUGCUUCGGGUUUUGGUCGGUCCUCGAUGCUCUGUGUGUUGUCGAGUUAGACCUUGGAGAAGUUGCAGGUCAAUCCGGAUUGAGGCAGAGGUCGAGUGUGUUUGGGCUGAGAGGAACCGAAGUGGUGUGAUGCUAAUUAGGUGAAGGUGGCGACUAAGGCAGCAACUGGGGAUGUUUGGAGGUCCUGCUUGUUGAGUCCGGACCAGGAGAGUUCUUGGGCUAGUGCUUGAGAUCGAUGGAAGGUAAUCUCGAUCUCCUUUGAUGUUAUAUAGCUGCUGUAUUGAUUUUCGGAUUGAUUGGGUUCAUUUUUGGUGUUGCAAGUCGAUAACUUGGUGAUUUGGAGUUUACGGGGAGGCUAUGGCAAAAUUCCAGCAAGUCGCCGGAAUUCGGUGAGUAUUUCUGGCAAGUUGCCGGAAUCCCUACAGCAGUUCUGGCAGAAUCCGUGAAGGUAGCUUGUCGACUUUCCUUUUUCGUUUAAGUUGUAGUUUACGGUUUAGGAAAACCUGCCAUAUUUAGAAUGUCACAUCCCAACCCUUAAAUUUUUACCUUAUUUAUUAGCUUGGUUAUAAUAAGAAUUUUACUGUCUCCGUUAACGAAGUUAUAGUUUAAUUGGUAACUAGAGGGGUUUUGGGGGACGAUUAUUUUCGGAGGAUUAAUCGUAGGAGAAAAAAAAUGUGGCGACGGUAAAAAUAGUAAAAUUAAGCUAGUAAAAGGUAAUUUUUAAUAGGGUAUUUUGUUUUGUGUUAAAUUGAUGGAGUUGGGUUUAAGUGUGGUGUUGGACCGGGUUGGUGUGAGGCCCAUACACCAUAUCCCCCUCUCUUUUUCUUCUCUUCCUCUUCUCUUUUUCUUCUCUUCCUCCUGACCUCUCUCCCGACUUCUCCCGCUGCCGGAUCCUCCAGCCAUCGCCUGCCACCGUCCGGCCAGCCACCGGCCGCCGCUCCAGCCCAGUUCGGAGCCCCGCCACCUCCUCUCCUUUCCCGGCCUAGUGUCCCAGCCGGUAACGCCGCCGAUCGAGAGAUAUUCCAUCGGAGACGUCGACUGCUCCUUCGUCGGAGCUCCCAUUUCCGGCCACCAUAACUCGCGAUUCUUGGCUCGUUGGGAAGCUCUCCUCCUGUGCAUCAAUUCCUCCAAAGAGCUCGCCCUCUAGUGGUCUAGGUAAGGAGAACCGGUGAGUGGAAGCUCUACGGCUUUUAUGAUGUUUUCGUUCGAUUGGCAUAGUUAGGCUUGGAAUUGGGUGUUGUCCUAGUGAAGGAAGUUGUAGAAGGAGUUGAGAGGAAGAUUCUGUUAAAAUUUGGUGGGCAUUAGAGGUCGCCGGAAUCGGCCUCCGGCCGCCGCUGCCCACGGAGCUGGCGACGCCGCCGCCGCUGUGUAGGAGAUUUGUAUAGUUUUAAAUGUAGAAUAUUAAGGGGAGUUUUUUGAUGUAAAGUAUGGAAUUUUUGGAUGAGUUUUGGAUAGGUUUGUGAAUUUCCGAAGUUUGGUAUUUUUGGCGGUUAAUUAAUAUAGAAUCCGGCCGUUAGAUUAAAGUUGUUUAAACUGUGGGAAGGUGUAGUUACGGCUACUGGUUCUCGGGUUGAAAUCUAGACCAUUUCGAAGUUAGGCAAUGUUGAGCGUGAUAAUGGCUCUCGGUUAAUUUUUUUCUAUUUUGUGUAAAUAUUGGAAUUUCGGCUGGGAAAUUAAUAUUAUAUUUGAAACAGGUCGUGAGGAGGCUCGAGCAGACGAGGCCCCAGAUCGACAUCAGGCUUAGGCCUAAUUUGUGAGUGGACUUUUAUUUUAAAUAAUGUGUAUGCGAAAUAAUUUAUGUUGUUAGAGAAUAACCGAAAUUAAGAAUUUCGGUGAGUAUGUAUAUAUAUCCAUAUUUGGAUGAAUAUGAGAAUAAUAUGUAUAUGAAGAAAUGCUAGCUAGCUAUACGUGUUUUUCCACCAUACUGAGGUAAAAUUCCAUUAUGGUGCGACGUGAGCAUUAGACGCAAUCGUUGUAGCCCUAUAUAAAUAUAAUAAUUUAUAUAGGGGAUAUGUGCGUAUAUAUUUACCAUAAUGAGGUAAAAUGCCAUUAUGGUGCGACGUGAGCGUUAGACGCAAGCGUCGUAGCCUUGUGUGAAUUUUCUAUUUGUCUUUAUUGUUUUAAGAAAAUUCAUACAAGGAAUAUGACGAGUGUAAUGCAUACAUAUUUUAUUUUAGCCUGAGAUACUGUUAUUUUUGAAGUGUUUGUGACUAGCGCGGCUAAUCAGGUGUCGGUAAAUUCGGUAAAUUUUUAAAAACUUUUGAGCUGGUUGCAUGUCAUUAAUUGUUUUUCCACUGAAGUUUAAAUUGGGAAAGCAUAAAGAAUUAUUUCUUUUAAAUUUAAUUUAUUUCUGUCCACUCACUCUAACGUUAUUAAAUGUCUUCCCCUGGGUCAUUCGUUUUAAAAUGCCCAGUCUGCAGAAUUCGGGUUGGAUCUAGUAGAAGGCGAGACAUAGUCACCCGUAUUUCCACCACUUUUCAUCCGUAGGUUACCUGUUUAACCUACCUGUGAUUUCUUACUUCUGCUAGUGUCUAGUAGCUCUGAAUACUUGGGUUUAAUGUAUAUUAUUUCGGUUGUGGGCGAAGGCUUGUUGACAUUUUAGAAUAUUUGUCGGAGGAUUUAUGUCAUCUUAUUUGGAUAAUUAUGUUGAUUUGGAAGAUGUUCUAUUAUUUUUUGUUACUGGUGGGGUUUGUAUUUGGGGAGCACAUAGGCUCCAGAAGUUAAGGUUGGAUUGAGAAUUUUAGAAGUGUUUGCAGGUUUUCUUUAGAAAGGGUUGUCCAUUUUCAAGGGAGGUUAUGCCGAAUUUUCGGUAAUAUCUUCCUUGGAGGUGGUCCCCGCAGGAUUUACUCCGGGUUUUAGAGUAAAAUUCGGGGUGGGUCUUGUCAUAAAAAGUUUCUAUUUUUGGAAACUUUCCAUUUAUGGAAACCCUUUUUGGGUGCCCUUAAUGAUUUUUAGUGUGAAGUUGUGUAGCGAGGAAAUGAAUACAGAUUGUAUGGGUGAAGAAACAUUUGUAAUUGGGUUGUGAUUGAGGAUUUCACGGAUUGAGAAAAUUGGUCAUUGAGGGAGGGAUUUAGUGAAAAGGUUUGUUCUUAUUUAAGAACUAACGGAUUUCAAGUGAAGCAAAUAAUUGAAUUUGUGAAGACCCACCCCAAAUUUUACCCUAAAACCUGGAGCAAGUCCUGCGGGGACCACCUUACCGAAAAAUUUACCGAAAAAUUCGACAUAACCUCCCUUGAAAAUGGACAACCCUAUCCUGAAAAAAAAAUUCAGAUAACACUCCUAUACCAACACAUCCAACCUCAACACCUGGAGCCACCCGCUCCCCCACAACACAUCCACCACACACAAAAAAUAAUAUCAUCUUCUAAUCCAACCCAUAAAUAUCCAAUUUAUAUCAUACACCAUCCUUUGGAUAUCUCCCAAAUUAAUAAACAAAGACUUAGCACACAACCGAACUAUUAUACAUAUAAUCUCAAGGUAAUUAGAGCUACUAAACACUAGUGGAAGCAGGAAAAUAUGGUAGUAGGUUAACAUGUAACCUACUGAUGAAAGGUGGAAGAGAUGUGGGUGACUAUGCCUCUCCUCUGACUAGUGCCAACUCGAACUCUGCAGACUGGGCAUUUUAAAACGAAGGGCCCAGGGGAAAACAUUUGAAACCGUUAAAGUGAGUGGACAAAAAUAAAUUAAUAAAUAAAAUAUUUCUGCAUUCCCAUUUUAAUUUCCAAAUAAAUUAUGCUGCAUGCGACAGUUCAAAAACUAUCAAUUACAUGACUAGCCCCGGCUAGUUUCCAAAACUCAAACAAAUGAAGCCUCUCAGGCUAAAGUAAUAUGUAUAAAUAUGUAUGUAUUUACACUCGUCAUACUCCUUGUACGAAUUCUAGGAGGGAAUUAGAAAAAUAGAAGUUCGUACAAGGCUGCUACGCUUGCGUCUAACGCUCACGUCACACCAUAAUAAAAUUUUACCUCAUUAUGGCGGAAAAGCACGAGUGUAUAUAUAUAUGUGCAUAUUCUUUAUAUAAAUUACUAAAUUUAUAUAGGGCUACGACGAUUGUGUCUAACGCUCACGUCACACCAUAAUGGUAUUUACCUCAUUAUGGCGGAAAAACAAGUAUAGCUAGCUAGCAUUUAUAUAAAUACUAUCCUCAUAAUCAUCCAUAUAUGAAUAUAUAUUCACCAAAAUUUUCAAUUUCGGUCAUUCUUCAACAAAAGAAAAUAUUCAUCAAUAAAUCAUUUGCAUGCACAAUAUUUAAAACAAAAGUCCGCUCACAAAUUAGGCCUAAGCCUGAUGUCGAUCCGAGGCCUCUUCUGCUCGAGCCUCCUCACGUCCUUAUCCAAAUAUAAUAUUAAUUUCCCAACCAAAAAUCCAAAACUUACACAAAAUAGGCAUAAUUAAACGUGAGCCUUAAACACACUCAUCCUUGCCCAACUUCGCCAUUCUUAACUCAAUAUGGCCCAAGCUUCACCGAGCAAACCGGUAGCUUUAAAUUAACCUUCUACAGAUUAUACGACUUUAAUCCAACGGCCGGAUUCUACCUUAAAUAACCGCUAAAAUUACCAAACUUUAAAAAUUCCCAAACCUAUCCAAAACUCCUCCAAAAAUUCGACAAAUCACUUCAUUAAACUCCUCUAAUUAUAACACGAAUAAACCCUAAAAAUCCCCCAAACAGCGACGGCGGCGCCUCCUGCUCCGCCGGAAGCGGCUGCCGGAGGCCGACUCCGGUGACCUCCAAUGCCUACCAAAUUUUGACAACAUCUUCCUCUCAACUCCCUCUACAACUUUCCUAGCGCAACACCCAAUUCCAAGCCUAACCAAGUCAAUCGAACAAGAACAUUCUAGAAAACCCUAGAGCUUCAACACCAAAUAUCUCCUUACCUAGCUCAAGAGAGGGUGAGACCUUUGGAGGGUUUGUAGCACGGGAGGAGAGUUUCCUUUUGAGCCAAGUAGCUCUGGCUAUGGUAGCUGGAGUAGGAAGUUCCGGCGAGAAAACCACCACGAUAGCCAGCGGUUCCGGGCGUCGUUUCUCUCACACGGCGGCGCUAGGGGGCUGCCACUGGUCCAGGGAGGUAGCUGGGUUGAAGGCCGACAGAACGGGACCGGUGCGGCGGGCUGCGGUGGCCGGACGGCGGCCGGAAGUCAUACGGGAAGAGAGAAGCUCGGGAGAGAGUGCUCGGGAGGAAGAGAAAAAGGAGAGAAGAAAAAUGAUGUAUGGGCCUCCCCACUAAACCGGUCCAACAACCUUAUACCAACCCAACUCCAUAACUUUACACCCCAAAAUAAUACCCCAAUAAAAAUUAUCUUUUACUAGCCAAAAUUUACCAUUUUUACCGUCGACACAUUUUUCUCCUACGAAUAAUUCUCCGAAAUAAUUGUUCCCCAAAACCUCUCUAAGGACCAAUUAAACUAUAAUCUCAUUGACGGAGACGGUAAAAUUCUUAUUAAUACCAAGCUAGUAAAUAAGGUAAAAAUUUAAGGGUCGAGAUGUGACAGAAUUAUUAAAAUGUUUGUUGGAAUUAAAUUGGAUGGUUAAUAGUUAAUCAGGUAACCUGAAUUAUUAGACGUGAAUUGUUGUCAAGAAAUGAAGCAUCCAUAUCCCAAAGUGGAGCGUGAUUGGUUAAGGGAAGUAUUUGGGAAUAGACAAUGUAAUUUUAUUUAGGGACCAAUCUUUAGUCUUGGACUGGACUAUUGAUUAAGGCUAAAGAUAACUGUUCUCUGGAAGUAGUUGAGAUUUUUAACUUACGGUUUGGGUUAAUUGUUUAAUUAAAGGACUCAAGUAUGUGCCUAUGGACGUAAAGGCCCGCCGUAGAAAGUUGACAGGCAUUUGACUUGGGAAGCCUUUGCUUGGCAAUUAAAUAACUGAAUCACUGUGAGUGGACAUUUCUUUUAAAUUAAAUGCAUGUAGAGAUUUAUUUUAAAGGAAUGAUUUUAUUGGUCAUUAAUUUGUGGAAUUUGUUUUCCUCUCGUGAGUUAUUUUCUGCGAAGUUAUUUUCGGAGGUAAAUGUUCUUAUUUUAUUUAUUAACUUCGCUAUUUUGAGAAUUUCUGAAAAUAGGAUUUUCGGUAUAUAUAUAUAUAUGUAUAUUUAUGAGGAGAGUAUGUAUAUAAAUGCUAGUUAGCCAUAUGUGUCUGUACACCUUAAUGACGUAGUAUAUAACCGCAUUAUGGUGUGACGUGAGCAUUAGACGCGAGCGUAGUAGCCCUAUAUGGGUAUAUAUGGGCACAUAUUUAUACACUUGUCCAUCCACCUUAAUGGCGUAGUGUAGCACCGCAUUAAGGCGUGACAUGAGCGUUAGACGCAAGCGUAGUAGCCUUGUAUGAAUUUCUAUUUUCCUUAUAUUUCCUUCAUAGAAUUCAUACAAGAAGUAUGGACGUGUAUAGAUACAUACAUAUUAUAUAUAUUGAUGGAUUUAUAUUAUUGAGUUUGAGAGGCUCGAUAUUUAAGAGAUGAAAGUUUUAUCGUUUGAGGCAUGCAUUUGAUUUCUUUGGAAAUUUAAUUUGGGAUAGCAUUAAUUAUUUCUGUUAAAUUUAUUUUUAUCCACUCACUCUAACGUUUGCAAAUGUUGUCCCCUGGGCCCUUCGUUUUAAAAAUGCCCACUAUGCAGGUUAGCAUAGUUGAGGUCGAGCGUACAUGGAGAAGAGGUAUAGUCAAUAGUAUAGCUUCCGCUCAUUUUUAUAUUUCUAGUUCUUUUCCUCUCAAAUAAAUUGCUGUCACAUCCCAGUUCUUAAAUUAAAUUACGGUUAUUUACUUUGGUAUUACUUUGGUCUUUUACCGUUUUAUGUAACCGUUUACUAUUUAAGACUCCAAAAGUUGACUUUUUCUUCCGUUUGAAAUUUGGGAAAAUUUUCUUCACAAAAGUCGUAGAGGACGUUAAUACAAAUUCGUAGACAUACUAUAUAUUAAAAUCGGAGUUAGCAUGAAAAAGUUAUCAGAUAAAAGGGGUAAAUUUUGAGUGGUAAAAAUGGGGUGAAUUUUAGUAGGCUUUAUUUGUUGUGGGUAUUAAGUUGGACCGGGUGUGAAGCAGCCCAACACCCACACACUUACUCUCUCUCUCUCUCUCUUCCUUCUCUCUCUCCCGAACUCUCCCCGACCCGCCGGAUUCCUCGGCUCCAACCGCCACCGUCCGGCCACCAAUGACCGACGCACCGGUCCAAAACGGUCAGCCGUCGACCUAGCCUUCUCCAUGGACCGGUGAGAGAUGCCCUAGCGCCGCCGUGAGGGAGAGAGCUCGCCUAGAAGCUCUGCUUGCGUUGUGGAGUCCCGUCGUCGGAACUCGCUACUCCCGCCGCCAUCGCCGGUGAUUUGGGUCUCAUUUGGAAGAGCUUGUUUUGUGUAACAAUCCCCUAGAAGGUAAUUAACCAAUUCGAAAUGUGUAGGAGGAUUUUUGGUCUAGGGUUUGAAUUGGGGAUUUUUUUAUGUUUUGAUUUGAUUACCCUAUUUAGGCUUAGAAUUGGACUAAGUGCUAGUUAUGGAAGUUGUUGUGCAUAUUUAGAGGAUUGUUGUGCUAAAUUUUGGGAAACAUUGGAGGUCGCCGGAGUACGGCUGCCGGCGGAGCCUCCCCUUAGGGGUAGUUUUUCAUGUUUUUGAGAUUGUUUUAAGGAGAGGAGUUUAAUGAUGUGAAGUUUAGAAUUUUUGGAGGAGUUUUGGUUAGGUUUGGGAUUUUUCAAAGAUUGAGAAUUUUAGUGGUUGUUAGAAUGAAAAUCCGGCCAUUGGAUUUCCUUGGUAUUUAUUCUAGAAUAUUAGAAUUGAUGAAUUAAGGUUGUGGUGGAGUUUGGUAUGAAUCCGAUAAGCUUAACCCUAGACAGGGUAGUGGGUUAGGCGGAAGAUUUUCAGGGUGUUUUAUUAAAGCAUUUAUUUUUCCAAAAAUCGGAAUGUGGUUCUAAUUAUGCUUAUGGUGUUAGGAUUCAUGGAGACCUCACUUGUAUGGCUAUAUCUGCUUCUUAUUUAUUGUUGUUGACCUGACUAACGGGGCUAGUCUAUCUUUUUGAUAUUCCUUUUUACAAAGAUCUUUAUGAAUCCUUGUUGUUGUUGUUUUGAUUGCGAGGCUAGUUCGUUUUCUCGGGAUUUUCUUUUUGAAGGCAUUAUCAACAGUUGCAUGCAAUGGAUUUAUUGCUUAUCGGAAAGUGAGAAAGUAUUUAAGUUUUGGUUUCUUAUCCUAUGUCCUUUUAUUUAUUUAUUUUUGUCCACUCACUCUAACGUUUUAAAUUACUUUCCUCUGGGCCUUUUGGUUUCAAAUGCCCAGUUUGCAGGCUAAGUUUAAAUGAGGUCGAGUGUACAUGGAGUCGAGGCAUAGUCAGAGGCUGCUUCUGCUUACUCUUUAUUCAUUGUUUUUCUUUCAUUAUAGAUGCUCUGAUGACCAUUAGAGAUUGUUAUUAGUUGAGUAUGGUUGAAAGUAUUUUGGGAGAUGUUAUGAACUUGGGGAGCAAGAAGGCUCUAGGAGUUGAGGUUGGUUGAUUUAUAAUAGAAGUGUCUAUUUGGAAUUUUUUCAUGGAAGCGUUGUCCAUUUUCAAGGUAAAUUAUGCCAAUUUUUCAGUAAAUUUUCCUUGGAGGUGGACCCUGUAGGAUUUACUUCGGGUUUCAGAGUGAAAUUCUGGGUGGGUCCUGUCAGUUGGUAUCAAAGGUUAGGUUAUCCGAUUCCUAUCACUACCUCAUAUGCUUAUUGGUGAUACUUAGUGUCUAUAGAGUGAUGGUCCGACCGCGGUGGAUCCAUUAGCAUUAUAUGCAUCAGAUGCUAUGUGUUUAUUACGUAUGUGAGGUAGUUCUUGUCUUUUUUAUGGAUAGUAUUGUGUCAUAAAUUUCUAUAUCUUCAAGACUAUGCCUCCGUACGCCAACCUCAAAGAGUAUCUUGGUUAUUUUCCGAGUAAUGGGAAGGUAAGUGAUUUGUGAGAUUUUGAGUUCAGUUAUGAGUUGGGAAGUGACCUGGAUUUGUAGUGUUCUACUAUUUAUUUAUUUAGUUGUUGACUUUUAUUUGAUUGACAAGUUGAGCCUUUUUGCUGAUAUUAAUAAUAGGAAGGGCAUGCUUGUGAACGAGGGAUUGAGCAAUUUCUAGUUAAGGUUGGUAUUGGAAUAAGAGAUAUUAUAAGGGAGUUAAGCAAGUGUUGUUUUGCUUUGAGAUAAAUAGUAAAGUGAUACUGCUUGAGUUAAUUAAUUGUGGAUGUUAUUGGAUGCGUUAAAUGGGGCUAUUAAAGUUUGGUUUAUGCAUUGAAGUUCGAUUUCUGUGAUUGUUAUUGGUCGAUUUAGGUUUGGUAUGUGUGAUGUGGGAUUCGCUCUCCUACUUAUGUUGAGUGUUUUAGAUGGAUUGUAACUAUAAUGGGCUUUGAAAUUGUAAUAGUAAAGCGGAUGCGAGAUGGUUGUGGCUGCUCCGACGUUACAACAACAGAUGGAAAAUUUGAUUCAUGAUGACUGAACUUGGUAGAUCAAGUGGCGAAUGAGAAUGUAGCUAUUUGCUUUGGACGCUUAGUGACAGUGUAGAAGUUUAGUAUCCGCUAGUCCCUGGACCAACCCAUUCUUAUUCUUGAGUAUUUCGGUUACAAGGGGAGAAGUGAAUAAUCGUGUUGAGAAUUUUGAGAGUUCUAGGUAACUCUAACAUCAAGUGACCUUGGUCACUAGAAAAGUUAGAAAUUUAGGUGCGGUGUGGUUGUUCAGAAAGCAGUUCUUUAUUUCAAAAUGCGUGAUUGUUGGGAGCCAAAAGAGUUGAGGAAUAUUUCGGUGUAUACAUAACCGAAGAUGUAGAGAUUGUUUGGAGAAGUGAGGUUGUGUGCCCAUAGUAAUUUUCAAGCGGCAUUGUUUAUGUUAGGUGACACAAGUCUUGAACUUUUGGGUUAUGAUGGCGUGACCAAAGUUUGUUUGCUAAAAUCACUUAGUUCGUGGUGGGAGAUUAACUGUGAUGUUCAAGGUGAGAUUAUGUUUACCCACCAUAUUUCAAACUCGAUAGACAGAAUAAUAAGAGUUUUAGAUGUAACGUGUUUUGGCUAUACCUAAGUUGGCUUUGCUGCAGUUUUAGAUAGCCGAAACACUCCUUUUUUCUAACGAUCUUGUGCUUUUGGAGGGCGGAAACUAUAAUUUUUAAGUUACGAAUCUUGGAGCCGCAAGUAUUAAGUGGUAUCAAGAGAGCCACGAGGCGAUGUUAAAUGAAUUGUUCGAGUCACGAGGUGUAUGAUUUAUGGAGUAGCUUUAGGGGAAACGGUUUCUCGGUUGAUUUAAGUAAGUAUUUUUGUUCAGAGUUUAGGGUAUCGAGGACAAUGCAUGUCCUGAUACGUUUAACGCCUUCCCUCCUGUAAGAGUUUUUCUUAUGGACCGCAUAGUCGUGGGACCACUUACUAUUCCAAGUAUGGUCUGGGAGAUCAUCACCGUUUGGUCAGGUGUCGAGAGGGGGAUAGGCUUAAACUUUUCUAUUAGAUUCUGGCUUUAAGGACGUGGUCGAAAUGGGUCGCUAGUGGAUGUCGGUUAUUGGUAGAACUUAUGAGCUCGAAAUUAUGGAUUUGCUUUCUUCUUGUACUUUAGUUAUUUUCCUCUUGAGUUUGAGCCAAGGUGAGUUUCGAUAUAUUCUUGCUCUUACAGUUUUUUGCGAUUGAUAAACCACAAAUUGUAGUAGUGGCAAUUAAUUUUGACAUCCGAUAGUUAACUUAAGUGUUUUGCGAACUCAGCUUAAUAGUGUUGUUGAACUGAAGGAGCCGCUAAAUGUUGUUUUCAGAUGUCGCUGCUUAUGACUAUCAAUAAAGUCAACUAAGAUAUAAUCUAGUUAUUGCUGAUACUCUAGUCAGAAACUUUGGGGCUUAGCAGCUGUAGCAACCAGCGUUUGCAAGAAUUUUGACCAUAACAGUUUUGUGGAUUAUGUUCUGUCCUCAGUGUCAGGACCCACCCCGAAUUUCACCCUGAAACCUGAAGUAAAUCCUACGGGGACCACCUCCAAGGAAAAUUUACCGAAAAAUUGGCAUAACCUCCCUUGAAAAUGGACAACCCUUCCUAACUAAAACAGCUGCAAACACUUCUAACAAUUCCAACUCCAACCUUAUAAACUCCUAGAGCCUUCGUGCUCCCCAUAAAUCACAACAUCUCCCAAUUUAUAUUUACUCAUCUAGCAAAAAAUCUCAUAACCAUCAAUCACAGGUUCAGAGCAACUCUAUUAGAGGAGACAGGAACUAGAAAUAGAAAUAUGAGCGGAAGCUAUACUAUUGAUUAUGCCUCGUCUCCAUGUAUGCCCGACCUCAAUUAUGCUAACCUGCAUACUGGGCAUUUUUAAAACGAAGGGUCCAGGGGAAAACAUUUGAAACCGUUUAAGUGAGUGGACAAAAAUGAAUUCAAUAAAAAUAUUUAUGCAUGCCCAAUUUAA
RNAcentral lists this long non-coding RNA (17107 nucleotides) under Fragaria vesca (wild strawberry). RNAcentral describes it as "long non-coding RNA (FVES_LNC005518)". Lineage: Eukaryota; Viridiplantae; Streptophyta; Magnoliopsida; Rosales; Rosaceae. The record is from RNAcentral.